Mustela lutreola (European mink) is the source of this 788-nucleotide long non-coding RNA. RefSeq lists it as uncharacterized. NCBI's taxonomy places the organism in Eukaryota, Metazoa, Chordata, Mammalia, Carnivora, Mustelidae. The transcript has 4 exons. The record is from RefSeq and is a predicted model, not a curated record.
AGGCAUUCAAUCACGUUAUCCAGGACCAGAUUUCCUUCAGCCUGUAAUCUCUGCCAUGCACAGCAGAUAAAUAAGGCUGAAGAGACACCAGCAUUUGGUUGAAGAUGGGGAUCAAUUUGGGCGUGGCAUCUGCGAUGCACAAAAACUGACCAGAAGAUGAAGUAAGACCCAUUAUCCCCAAACUGACUCCAAAUUCUCUGGAAGGUCCAAUAACUUAAGGAAACCUGAGAAGAGGAAUUGAAUUUAUAGCAGAACAUGGGAAGGUGGGGCAAGAUUAUUUCUGAAGGAACGUCCAUCGCAUGAGAGCAUUUUUAAGGAAAAGAAAUAUUUGAGUUCAUCACUAAAUUCCUGUUUCGAAAAUGAGAUUCUGAGAGAGAGAAAGUACAAGCAGGAUGGGCAGCAGAGGGAGAGGGAAAGGGGGCUGAGCAGGGAGCCCCCACACUCAACCAAUUGAGCCCACCAGGCUCCCCAGAGGACUUCUGAUUUCUGAACGUGAGUUAAUUCUACUUCUCCUUAAGUAAGAGAACACAUUUAAAUGAUUGAUGAUUGGAAUUUUGCUUCUCUGACCAUGUCUUGGGAAUCUGUGAAAGGCUGAUCUCAGUUCGGAUGAACCGUUUUGGAAGCUGGCUCUGUUUCCCUGGGCGGGAGCUGCAGGCGCAGGGAGCCAGGAUGGUGGGUCUGAGACCUUGCAGACGUGCUGGAGUGACUGCGGUUGCUGAAACCCCUGUUGCGAUGACGGCCUGCAUAGUGUUCUUACUCUCUUCAACCCACCUCUGACGAAAACUUGG